Molecule: ribosomal RNA, 255 nt
Filed under: uncultured bacterium
Lineage: Bacteria
Description: partial 16S ribosomal RNA
Rfam family: Bacterial small subunit ribosomal RNA
Source: RNAcentral
UCUUUCUUUGCUGGCGACCGGCGCACGGGUGAGUAACACGUAUCCAACCUGCCCUUUACUCGGGGAUAGCCUUUCGAAAGAAAGAUUAAUACCCGAUAGCAUAAUGAUUCCGCAUGGUUUCAUUAUUAAAGGAUUCCGGUAAAGGAUGGGGAUGCGUUCCAUUAGGUUGUUGGUGAGGUAACGGCCCACCAAGCCUUCGAUGGAUGGGGGUUCUGAGAGAAAGGUCCCCCACAUUGGAACUGAGACACGGUCCAA